Molecule: ribosomal RNA, 296 nt
Filed under: uncultured bacterium
Lineage: Bacteria
Description: partial 16S ribosomal RNA
Rfam family: Bacterial small subunit ribosomal RNA
Source: RNAcentral
GGAUUAGAUACCCUGGUAGUCCACGCCGUAAACGAUGAGAACUAGGUGCAGCGGAUAUUGACCUCUGCUGUGCUGUAGCUAACGCGUUAAGUUCUCCGCCUGGGGAGUACGGCCGCAAGGCUAAAACUCAAAGGAAUUGACGGGGGCCCGCACAAGCAGUGGAGCAUGUGGUUUAAUUCGAAGCAACGCGCAGAACCUUACCAGGGCUAGAAAAACUGAGAAUCCUGACGAAACUCGGGAGUGCUCGCAAGAGAACUCAGGUCCAGGUGCUGCAUGGCUGUCGUCAGCUCGUGCCG